Molecule: ribosomal RNA, 1633 nt
Filed under: Campylobacter coli
Lineage: Bacteria; Pseudomonadati; Campylobacterota; Epsilonproteobacteria; Campylobacterales; Campylobacteraceae
Description: partial 23S ribosomal RNA
Rfam family: Bacterial large subunit ribosomal RNA
Source: RNAcentral
AAAAAAGGUAAGCUACUAAGAGCGAAUGGUGGAUGCCUUGACUGGUAAAGGCGAUGAAGGACGUACUAGACUGCGAUAAGCUACGGGGAGCUGUCAAGAAGCUUUGAUCCGUAGAUUUCCGAAUGGGGCAACCCAAUGUAUAGAGAUAUACAUUACCUAUAUAGGAGCGAACGAGGGGAAUUGAAACAUCUUAGUACCCUCAGGAAAAGAAAUCAAUAGAGAUUGCGUCAGUAGCGGCGAGCGAAAGCGCAAGAGGGCAAACCCAGUGCUUGCACUGGGGGUUGUAGGACUGCAAUGUGCAAGAGGUAAGUUUAGCAGAACAUUCUGGAAAGUAUAACCAUAGAGGGUGAUAGUCCCGUAUGCGAAAAACAAACCUUAGCUAGCAGUAUCCUGAGUAGGGCGGGACACGAGGAAUCCUGUCUGAAUCUGGGUCGACCACGAUCCAACCCUAAAUACUAAUACCAGAUCGAUAGUGCACAAGUACCGUGAGGGAAAGGUGAAAAGAACUGAGGUGAUCAGAGUGAAAUAGAACCUGAAACCAUUUGCUUACAAUCAUUCAGAGCCCUAUGUAGCAAUACAGGGUGAUGGACUGCCUUUUGCAUAAUGAGCCUGCGAGUUGUGGUGUCUGGCAAGGUUAAGCAAACGCGAAGCCGUAGCGAAAGCGAGUCUGAAUAGGGCGCUUAGUCAGAUGCUGCAGACCCGAAACGAAGUGAUCUAUCCAUGAGCAAGUUGAAGCUAGUGUAAGAACUAGUGGAGGACUGAACCCAUAGGCGUUGAAAAGCCCCGGGAUGACUUGUGGAUAGGGGUGAAAGGCCAAUCAAACUUCGUGAUAGCUGGUUCUCUCCGAAAUAUAUUUAGGUAUAGCGUUGUGUCGUAAUAUAAGGGGGUAGAGCACUGAAUGGGCUAGGGCAUACACCAAUGUACCAAACCCUAUCAAACUCCGAAUACCUUAUAUGUAAUCACAGCAGUCAGGCGGCGAGUGAUAAAAUCCGUCGUCAAGAGGGAAACAACCCAGACUACCAGCUAAGGUCCCUAAAUCUUACUUAAGUGGAAAACGAUGUGAAGUUACUUAAACAACCAGGAGGUUGGCUUAGAAGCAGCCAUCCUUUAAAGAAAGCGUAAUAGCUCACUGGUCUAGUGAUUUUGCGCGGAAAAUAUAACGGGGCUAAAGUAAGUACCGAAGCUGUAGACUUGCGCACAACUUAGAUUAUUUAAGUUUAGAAUAUGAGAAACUAAGUUAUAUGUUUAGUUAUAUUUUUACUGAUUUUUAUAGAGUAAAGAUAGAAAUAAAACUUAGUAAAAUCAGUAAAAAUAUUCUUAGACUAAAGUUAAGUAGUUUAAGUUGUGUGCAAGUGGUAGGAGAGCGUUCUAUUUGCGUCGAAGGUAUACCGGUAAGGAGUGCUGGAGCGAAUAGAAGUGAGCAUGCAGGCAUGAGUAGCGAUAAUUAAUGUGAGAAUCAUUAACGCCGUAAACCCAAGGUUUCCUACGCGAUGCUCGUCAUCGUAGGGUUAGUCGGGUCCUAAGUCGAGUCCGAAAGGGGUAGACGAUGGCAAAUUGGUUAAUAUUCCAAUACCAACAUUAGUGUGCGAUGGAAGGACGCUUAGGGCUAAGGGGGCUAGCGGAUGGAAGUGCU